UUUAUGCUAAUAGGAAUUUCCCUUUCCAACACCGAGCGCAUUCAUUCCCAGUAGCAUUUGUAGGCAAAUGCAGCCAACUUUACUAUUAUUUACGUACAUCAGCUGUUUGAAAAGUUUAUUAAUUGGCAAUCAAGGCCUUGUUAUCAAUUUAUUUUGCUGUUUUCCUAUCAAAAAGAAACUCACUUGUCAAAUUAGCAGCCAUAAAUUUUUUUUUGAUAAAUAAAUGUAUUUGGCAAUUGAGACACCAUUCCGUACGGCAGUAUGCAAAAUUGAAAAGCUAAUUAUUUUUAAAAGUUAUUAGGUGCGCCCGUACUACAUCAGCAACUACAUAUUUAUGCAAAUAUAUAGUACAUAUACCUAAUGUACGUGAAGUAAACUUUGUGUUCAAUUGAACACUUUGCAAUUAGUUAAUAGCGCGCCUUCAACGGGUACACAAGCAUAAGAUAUACAUAGUACAAUCGCGCCGCCUGCAGAUCGACAGUGUGCUCAGAAAUACGUGCUUUGUGUGUCAUAUGUAUAUAUGUACAUACACACAUAUGUACCAACCGAAAGUGAUUGAUUAUUAAAGUACAAAUUCCAAAUAAACUAACGAACCCAACGAGAAGUAAGUGAAGGAGUUAAGAUGCCACCAUUCCAAGUUGUCGAUUGCACAAAGGUAUUAACAGGUGGAGUGAAUCGGGCAUUUGGUAAUAGAGAACCUUGGCUAGUAGCAACUAUUACGGCGACAACGGUGCUGGGAACUGUUUGGCUAUGGACAUUUAUCAAUCAUGAUGAAAGUGAGUAAAUCAUAUGAAUGUUUGUAGUUUUGUAUGUGUACAGUUUCGUUUGCCAUUUCGCCGAUUUUUAAUUGCUAAUCGGUAAGAAAUUUAAGAAAUAAUGAAUUGCUAAUUGGCGGUUUUGUACUUGCAGCCAUUCAUUUAAUAU
Molecule: long non-coding RNA, 924 nt
Organism: Rhagoletis zephyria (snowberry fruit fly)
Lineage: Eukaryota; Metazoa; Arthropoda; Insecta; Diptera; Tephritidae
Source: RefSeq, a predicted model, not a curated record